GAUGAACGCUGGCGGCGUGCCUAAUACAUGCAAGUCGAGCGAACGGACGAGAAGUUUGCUUUUCUGAUGUUAGCGGCGGACGGGUGAGUAACACGUGGAUAACCUACCUAUAAGACUGGGAUAACUUCGGGAAACCGGAGCUAAUACCGGAGAAUAUUUUGAACCGCAUGGUUCAAAAGUGAAAGACGGUCUUGCCGUCACUUAUAGAUGGAUCCACGCUACAUUAGCUAGUUGGUAAGGUAACGGUUUACCAAGGCAACGAUAGAUAAACGACCUGAAAGGGUGAUCGGCCACACUGAUACAGAGACGCGGUCCAGAGUCCUACGGGAGGCAACAGUGGGAAAUCUUACGCAAUGCACGCAAGCCUAACGGAGCAACACCACGUGAGUGAUGAAUAUCCAAGGGUCGUAAAACUCUCACAUUAGUGAAAAACAUAUGUGUAAGUAACUGUGCACAUCUUGACGGUACCAAGUCAGAAAGCCACGGCAAACUACGUA
This 497-nucleotide ribosomal RNA is filed under the name uncultured bacterium. RNAcentral describes it as "partial 16S ribosomal RNA". It matches the Rfam family "Bacterial small subunit ribosomal RNA", at positions 28 to 507 of the family's 1533-position model. The record is from RNAcentral.